Vigna angularis (adzuki bean) is the source of this 195-nucleotide non-coding RNA. NCBI's taxonomy places the organism in Eukaryota, Viridiplantae, Streptophyta, Magnoliopsida, Fabales, Fabaceae. The record is from Rfam.
AUACCUUUCUCGGCCUUUUGGCUAAGAUCAAGUGUAGUAUCUGUUCUUAUCAGUUUAAUAUCUGAUAUGUGAACUAUUAGUUCACACGAUAUUAAAUUAAUUUUUUAAGGGAGAGAACCAUUUGAGUAGCUUGCUACUUUGUUUCUCGAGCAUUGCCUUUGUUUUGCACUGAUGCAAAGGCCAGGUGCAUCCCAC